UAUAUUCCUCGUUAGGUGAGGCUCCUGUGCAGGAGAUACGCUGCUACCCAAAAAUGUCCAAAGACGCCAAUGGGUCAACAGAAACCAUCGACAUAAGGUGGUUUUUAAUGUAGCUGGCAAUAGCCUAUGCCGCACAGUGCUAAAGCUCUACGAAUGGAGGCUAUUU
This 166-nucleotide small RNA is filed under the name Shouchella clausii KSM-K16. RNAcentral's name for it is "Bacillus clausii KSM-K16 M-box riboswitch aptamer (ykoK leader)". It matches the Rfam family "M-box riboswitch aptamer (ykoK leader)". From Rfam's summary of the family: M-box riboswitch, also know as ykoK leader is described as a metaloregulatory RNA that sense divalent metals and function as a genetic control element of genes related to divalent metal transport in bacteria. Lineage: Bacteria; Bacillati; Bacillota; Bacilli; Caryophanales; Bacillaceae. RNAcentral also lists the same sequence under 1 other name. The record is from Rfam by way of RNAcentral.